RNAcentral lists this transfer RNA (94 nucleotides) under Stenotrophomonas maltophilia. RNAcentral describes it as "tRNA-Val(cac)". Lineage: Bacteria; Pseudomonadati; Pseudomonadota; Gammaproteobacteria; Lysobacterales; Lysobacteraceae. The record is from RNAcentral.
CUGGACGUGGCUGACUUCGCGCUGCAGGCCCGUGCCUCACAGGCGCAGCUGGCUGCGGCCGAGGCCGACCUGGUGCGUGCCCGCGAUGACCUGA